UGCCAGCCGCCGCGGUAAUACGGAGGGUGCAAGCGUUGUUCGGAAUUAUUGGGCGUAAAGCGCGUGUAGGCGGUUCGUUAAGUCUGAUGUGAAAGCCCGGGGCUCAACCCCGGAAGUGCAUUGGAAACUGGCGAACUUGAGUACGGGAGAGGAAAGUGGAAUUCCGAGUGUAGGGGUGAAAUCCGUAGAUAUUCGGAGGAACACCAAAAGCGAAGGCAACUAUCUGGGCUUAGACUGACAUUGAGGCACUAAAGCGUGGGGAGCAAACAGGAUUAGAUA
Molecule: ribosomal RNA, 279 nt
Filed under: uncultured bacterium
Lineage: Bacteria
Description: partial 16S ribosomal RNA
Rfam family: Bacterial small subunit ribosomal RNA
Source: RNAcentral